GUUGCCUCAGUACGGCGAGUGAAGCGGCAACAGCUCAAAUUUGAAAUCUGGCCGCAAGGUCCGAGUUGUAAUUUGCAGAGGAUGCUUUUGGCGAGGUGCCUUCCGAGUUCCCUGGAACGGGACGCCAUAGAGGGUGAGAGCCCCGUACGGUUGGACCACCGAGCCUCUGUAAAGCUCCUUCGACGAGUCGAGUAGUUUGGGAAUGCUGCUCUAAAUGGGAGGUGUACGUCUUCUAAAGCUAAAUACCGGCCAGAGACCGAUAGCGCACAAGUAGAGUGAUCGAAAGAUGAAAAGCACUUUGAAAAGAGGGUUAAAAAGUACGUGAAAUUGUUGAAAGGGAAGCGUUUAUGACCAGACUUGGGCUUGGUUGAACAUCCGGCGUUCUCGCCGGUGCACUCUGCCAGUCCAGGCCAGCAUCAGUUUGUCCCGGGGGAUAAAGGCGGUGGGAAUGUGGCUCCCCCGGGAGUGUUAUAGCCCGCCGUGCAAUGCCCUGGGACGGACUGAGGAACGCGCUUCGGCACGGAUGCUGGCGUAAUGGUCAUCAACGACCCGUCUUGACCACGGACCA
Molecule: ribosomal RNA, 568 nt
Filed under: Sarocladium oryzae
Lineage: Eukaryota; Fungi; Ascomycota; Sordariomycetes; Hypocreales; Sarocladiaceae
Description: partial 28S ribosomal RNA
Rfam family: Eukaryotic large subunit ribosomal RNA
Source: RNAcentral